This 328-nucleotide unclassified non-coding RNA is filed under the name soil metagenome. RNAcentral describes it as "partial contains 5.8S ribosomal RNA, internal transcribed spacer 2, and large subunit ribosomal RNA". The stretch from base 1 to 120 matches the Rfam family "5.8S ribosomal RNA", at positions 35 to 154 of the family's 154-position model. The record is from RNAcentral.
GAUGAAGAACGUAGCGAAAUGCGAUAAGUAAUGUGAAUUGCAGAAUUCAGUGAAUCAUCGAAUCUUUGAACGCACAUUGCGCCCCUUGGUAUUCCGAGGGGCAUGCCUGUUCGAGCGUCAUUAUAACCCCUCAAGCUCAGCUUGGUGUUGGGGCCUGCUGCACUGGCAGCCCUUAAAAUCAGUGGGGCGCCAUCUGGCUCUAAGCGUAGUAAUUCUUCUCGCUAUGGAGUCCUGGUGGAUGCUUGCCAUCAACCCCCAAUUUUUCUAUGGUUGACCUCGGAUCAGGUAGGGAUACCCGCUGAACUUAAGCAUAUCAAUAAGCGGAGGA